RNAcentral lists this long non-coding RNA (1884 nucleotides) under Anas platyrhynchos platyrhynchos (common mallard). RNAcentral describes it as "lncRNA (ENSAPLG00000017639.1)". Lineage: Eukaryota; Metazoa; Chordata; Aves; Anseriformes; Anatidae. The record is from RNAcentral.
GCUGCAUACAGUUGUUGAAGUGCUGAAGUCAAGAAAGCUGUGGUAUUUUGCAACAGCUGAAGCCUUAGGUGCCUGGGGGUGCAUACGUAUGUUAUACGUGGCUUGGGUAUUUACUGUAGGGCCGGAUUUCAUGUAGGGGAUCUGAUGGUGGUGUGCCAAAAUGAAAAAGAGAGAAAAUUCCUUUUCCACACAGCGCUGUCAAAAUUCUGCUUUUGUACUUUGAAUCAUCAGCUCUCAUGCUUUUAGUCUUGCAAUUGUUUGAAGAGGUCAUAAAUAUUUCUGCUAUUCUGUUAAAUGCAGUCUGCUUUGAUUACCAAACCUUGCUUUAGUAUUGCACUCAGGGGGGUAAUGAUAAUAUUGAUUUACCUACAAAUAGUAUGUAGUAUAUCAAUGUUAUCAGGCAUGACUUUAUUUUAGUAGAAACUUUACAAUACAAAUCUAAUCUGAUAGUUUUAUACGAUCUCUGGCUCUGGAUGUUGGAAAUAGGCUGCAGCUUGUGUUGUAAUGGUUUUGUUUAACAUAGCAUGAGGCUUUUCAAAAGCAUUUGAGGGCUAACCUUUACAUUUUUUUUUUCAUUCUUACCCAUGAAUGGCCAUUGUAAUGAUGACUUGCAAGAAAGUUUGAAAUGUUUCAGAAACCUCCUGCCCUAACUUUGAUAUUUUUGUUUGAAGGUCACCUUUUAAGAGGCAGUGAGCUGUGUUGCACUGUCUGAAGGAUAUUGAAAACUUGCUGCUGAACAGGAUUCAGAGUGGCUUAGGAGCAGAAAAUAUCUUCUCUUACUCGACACCUGUUGAGAAGUGACCUGGCUGUAACUCCUUUCUUGCUGCUACUCCUAAUGUACCAAAAGGGAGAGGAAGCCUUUGCUGCAAACCCUUCAGCAGAGAGGGGAUCCACGGAGGAUUCUGUUACGUGGUGCUGCCUAGGGCCCAGUUUGAUUUCACCUCGUCUUUCCAGCAGUCCUAGAUCUUUUCAAAAAAUGUGGGUGGAGGUCCAUUACACAUGCUUACUAUGGUUACUCGCCAUGAAAAACAGUACAAACAGCCAACACAGACUCCAGGUGGUGGAUCAGCAUUAAGCAUAAUAGACCCAGGGGCAGAGGAUUGGCAAGAUAUGACAAGAAAUGGUUGUACGUCCAUCCCCUUCAACUCCAUGACCUUCUGCGAGAGACAGGGAUAUGGAGCAACAGGCUCUGGGUCAUUAGUAUCAAUAACACAGAUCUCUCUCAUGCCACACCUAAACUAAAUUGUCAAUAGGAGGUGUUGUAGAAGAUUCACACAUCAUUCCAGCAACUGUAAUAUCUGUUGGGAAAUGCAAAAACACCAGGUGCGUAGCUGCUGGUUAGAGUUUCCAUUUACUUUACCUGGGGCUUUUCUGUAACAUGCAACAAAGUACGUCACAUGCAGAAAAAAGUAGGUGGAAGGUUCUUUCCAAACCACAUUGACCGAAAGAAUGUACGUGACAGGUAAGCUGUAUGCUGACGUGCUCAUGCAUUCUGCAGUAGAAAGGGUUACCUUGUCAAGGAAAUCUUCCUGGUGCAGGUGUGCAUCCUUGCAGAUUCAUUCACAGAAUGAGAGAUGAGAAUGAGCCCUCCCUGAUCUGACAAGUACAAACAGCAUUUUAUCCGUUUGUCUCCUAGGACAUUUGCUAGCUGUCUCGUUAAUCUUUUACUCAAAGUCAGACAUAUGUAUUGAUGGAAAAACAAACCAUAGACCACAGACCCCCUGCCUAGCAUUCCUGACCUCCUCAGGAUAACACUCACAAUAGAAAUAUACAGACAGCACUGAUAUUUCCUUGGCCUUGUAUCUGCAUUUUCUCCUUUUUCACUGCUAUACUUAUAAUCCCUUCUUCCUACUAUUUAUUUGUACUGUUGAGUAACUAUCUGCC